GGCCCCAGCUAUUCACAAUAUAUGUCAAUCAUUUCAAGCUAGGGACUAAAUGUAAUAUUUCCACAUUUAUUGAUGAUGCAAAGCUGCAUGGGAGUAUAUGUUAUGAGGAAGAUGGACAGUGGCUUCAGGACAAUUUGGAUACUCUUGGACAUAUAUUACUGCCACAGGAGGACUGCAACAAGUUACCAGACUUGCUCUCAGCCUUUUGAACGAGAUUGGGCAAACUGGGCCAAUAUUCCCUAAGUUUGAAGAAUGAAAAAUGAUUUCAUUGAAGGCUGCAAAAGACUUGAAGUCAUGGACAGAAUAGGCACAGUGCAUUGGAACAGGACGCUCAGAGAUGACUACACAACUUGGCUUCUCAAAUAUCUGCUCAUGAAUAAUAGGGAGGGCAAUUUAUUGGGCUGGCUACACUCAGGACUCUCCAGUUUCUCAAAUUGGUUGUGAGCUGCCAACUUGAUGUGUACUUCAGUGGACAAAAUGCAGACACUCCUAUUUCGGCCAAGACAGCAAUAUACAUCCAGCACAGCAUUAAACUGAAUUGCUAGGCCAGAGCAUUUCACCCUCAGCAGCCUUUAGUGUCUGGUUGGUUUCAUAGGCUUGGUGAUUUCAGUCAUCCCUAGAUCAUGAGAUCUCCUUCACUGCACUUUGUAAAAUGACUUUCCUACCAUGCUUUUGUUCUUAUGGAGAUCAAAGUGGCAAUGGGUCAAUAAUAAUACCCAUAAAAUAAAGCUGUUUGA
Non-coding RNA from Chiloscyllium plagiosum (whitespotted bambooshark), 737 nucleotides. The record is from RefSeq and is a predicted model, not a curated record. Lineage: Eukaryota; Metazoa; Chordata; Chondrichthyes; Orectolobiformes; Hemiscylliidae.